Molecule: unclassified non-coding RNA, 229 nt
Filed under: Hevea brasiliensis (rubber tree)
Lineage: Eukaryota; Viridiplantae; Streptophyta; Magnoliopsida; Malpighiales; Euphorbiaceae
Source: RNAcentral
UUUUAGAGUCUCUGUCAAAAACUGUAACUGGAGCAAAAUCAGAAAAUUGAUUGUCGACGGAUACAUGGACCGUGUAUCACUACGCGGCCCAGGGCCGUGUAACUUACUGAAACUUGAAAGUUGCUUCUCGUAUUUGGACAGAAGAUUACACGGGUCUUGGCCAGUUACACGGGUCCAAUUACACGGCCUGUGUUCUGCUGUUCUUCUUGGAAUUCUUCAAGCUUUGCCA